Molecule: small RNA, 101 nt
Filed under: uncultured Succinivibrio sp.
Lineage: Bacteria; Pseudomonadati; Pseudomonadota; Gammaproteobacteria; Aeromonadales; Succinivibrionaceae
Description: Alpha operon ribosome binding site
Rfam family: Alpha operon ribosome binding site
About the family: The bacterial alpha operon ribosome binding site is surrounded by this complex pseudoknotted structure. Translation of the mRNA produces 4 ribosomal protein products, one of which (S4) acts as a translational repressor by binding to the nested pseudoknot region.
Source: RNAcentral
GCCGCGUAUCCUCUUCGGGCUUUGCGGCGACGUUUUUUAUUAACUGACCUUGUAUUUAGGAGAUCAAUAGUGGCCCGUAUAGCUGGCAUUAACGUGCCUGA